UACGUAGGGUGCAAGCGUUGUCCGGAUUCACUGGGUGUAAAGGGUGCGCAGGCGGGCUCUUAAGUCAAAGGUGAAAUCUCUCGGCUUAACCGAGAAAUUGCCUUUGAUACUGAGAGCCUUGAGUACGGGAGAGGGAGAUGGAAUUCCAGGUGUAGCGGUGAAAUGCGUAGAUAUCUGGAGGAACACCGGAGGCGAAGGCGGUCUCCUGGCCCGUUACUGACGCUCAGACACGAAAGCGUGGGGAGCAAACAGG
RNAcentral lists this ribosomal RNA (253 nucleotides) under uncultured bacterium. RNAcentral's name for it is "partial 16S ribosomal RNA". It matches the Rfam family "Bacterial small subunit ribosomal RNA", at positions 524 to 776 of the family's 1533-position model. The record is from RNAcentral.